RNAcentral lists this ribosomal RNA (1509 nucleotides) under Helicobacter pylori. RNAcentral's name for it is "bacterial SSU rRNA". It matches the Rfam family "Bacterial small subunit ribosomal RNA". Lineage: Bacteria; Pseudomonadati; Campylobacterota; Epsilonproteobacteria; Campylobacterales; Helicobacteraceae. The record is from RNAcentral.
UUUAUGGAGAGUUUGAUCCUGGCUCAGAGUGAACGCUGGCGGCGUGCCUAAUACAUGCAAGUCGAACGAUGAAGCUUCUAGCUUGCUAGAAUACUGAUUAGUGGCGCACGGGUGAGUAACGCAUAGGUCAUGUGCCUCUUAGUUUGGGAUAGCCAUUGGAAACGAUGAUUAAUACCAGAUACUCCCUACGGGGGAAAGAUUUAUCGCUAAGAGAUCAGCCUAUGUCCUAUCAGCUUGUUGGUAAGGUAAUGGCUUACCAAGGCUAUGACGGGUAUCCGGCCUGAGAGGGUGAACGGACACACUGGAACUGAGACACGGUCCAGACUCCUACGGGAGGCAGCAGUAGGGAAUAUUGCUCAAUGGGGGAAACCCUGAAGCAGCAACGCCGCGUGGAGGAUGAAGGUUUUAGGAUUGUAAACUCCUUUUGUUAGAGAAGAUAAUGACGGUAUCUAACGAAUAAGCACCGGCUAACUCCGUGCCAGCAGCCGCGGUAAUACGGAGGGUGCAAGCGUUACUCGGAAUCACUGGGCGUAAAGAGCGCGUAGGCGGGAUAGUCAGUCAGGUGUGAAAUCCUAUGGCUUAACCAUAGAACUGCAUUUGAAACUACUAUUCUAGAGUGUGGGAGAGGUAGGUGGAAUUCUUGGUGUAGGGGUAAAAUCCGUAGAGAUCAAGAGGAAUACUCAUUGCGAAGGCGACCUGCUGGAACAUUACUGACGCUGAUUGCGCGAAAGCGUGGGGAGCAAACAGGAUUAGAUACCCUGGUAGUCCACGCCCUAAACGAUGGAUGCUAGUUGUUGGAGGGCUUAGUCUCUCCAGUAAUGCAGCUAACGCAUUAAGCAUCCCGCCUGGGGAGUACGGUCGCAAGAUUAAAACUCAAAGGAAUAGACGGGGACCCGCACAAGCGGUGGAGCAUGUGGUUUAAUUCGAAGAUACACGAAGAACCUUACCUAGGCUUGACAUUGAGAGAAUCCGCUAGAAAUAGUGGAGUGUCUAGCUUGCUAGACCUUGAAAACAGGUGUUGCACGGCUGUCGUCAGCUCGUGUCGUGAGAUGUUGGGUUAAGUCCCGCAACGAGCGCAACCCCCUUUCUUAGUUGCUAACAGGUUAUGCUGAGAACUCUAAGGAUACUGCCUCCGUAAGGAGGAGGAAGGUGGGGACGACGUCAAGUCAUCAUGGCCCUUACGCCUAGGGCUACACACGUGCUACAAUGGGGUGCACAAAGAGAAGCAAUACUGCGAAGUGGAGCCAAUCUUCAAAACACCUCUCAGUUCGGAUUGUAGGCUGCAACUCGCCUGCAUGAAGCUGGAAUCGCUAGUAAUCGCAAAUCAGCCAUGUUGCGGUGAAUACGUUCCCGGGUCUUGUACUCACCGCCCGUCACACCAUGGGAGUUGUGUUUGCCUUAAGUCAGGAUGCUAAAUUGGCUACUGCCCACGGCACACACAGCGACUGGGGUGAAGUCGUAACAAGGUAACCGUAGGUGAACCUGCGGUUGGAUCACCUCCUUUCUAGA